UUAAUUCAUGACCAAGUGCUCACA
RNAcentral lists this non-coding RNA (24 nucleotides) under Gossypium hirsutum (cotton). Lineage: Eukaryota; Viridiplantae; Streptophyta; Magnoliopsida; Malvales; Malvaceae. The record is from RNAcentral.